GAUGAACGCUGGCGGCGUGCCUAAUACAUGCAAGUCGAGCGAACGGACGAGAAGCUUGCUUCUCUGAUGUUAGCGGCGGACGGGUGAGUAACACGUGGAUAACCUACCUAUAAGACUGGGAUAACUUCGGGAAACCGUAGCUAAUACCGGAUAAUAUUUUGAACCGCAUGGUUCAAAAGUGAAAGACGGUCUUGCUGUCACUUAUAGAUGGAUCCGCGCUGCAUUAGCUAGUUGGUAAGGUAACGGCUUACCAAGGCAACGAUGCAUAGCCGACCUGAGAGGGUGAUCGGCCACACUGGAACGGAGACACGGUCCAGACUCCUACGGGAGGCAGCAGUAGGGAAUCUUCCGCAAUGGGCGAAAACCUGACGGAGCAACGCCGCGUGAGUGAUGAAGGUCUUCGGAUCGUAAAACUCUGUUAUUAGGGAAGAACAUAUGUGUAAGUAACUGUGCACAUCUUGACGGUACCUAAUCAGAAAGCCACGGCUAACUACGUG
RNAcentral lists this ribosomal RNA (497 nucleotides) under uncultured bacterium. RNAcentral's name for it is "partial 16S ribosomal RNA". It matches the Rfam family "Bacterial small subunit ribosomal RNA", at positions 28 to 507 of the family's 1533-position model. The record is from RNAcentral.